CGAUGAACCACUUCGGUGGGGAUUAGUGGCGAACGGGUGAGUAACACGUGGGCAAUCUGCCCUGCACUCUGGGACAAGCCCUGGAAACGGGGUCUAAUACCGGAUAUGACCAUCUUGGGCAUCCUUGAUGGUGUAAAGCUCCGGCGGUGCAGGAUGAGCCCGCGGCCUAUCAGCUUGUUGGUGAGGUAAUGGCUCACCAAGGCGACGACGGGUAGCCGGCCUGAGAGGGCGACCGGCCACACUGGGACUGAGACACGGCCCAGACUCCUACGGGAGGCAGCAGUGGGGAAUAUUGCACAAUGGGCGCAAGCCUGAUGCAGCGACGCCGCGUGAGGGAUGACGGCCUUCGGGUUGUAAACCUCUUUCAGCAGGGAAGAAGCGAAAGUGACGGUACCUGCAGAAGAAGCGCCGGCUAACUACGUGCCAGCAGCCGCGGUAAUACGUAGGGCGCGAGCGUUGUCCGGAAUUAUUGGGCGUAAAGAGCUCGUAGGCGGCUUGUCGCGUCGGUUGUGAAAGCCCGGGGCUUAACCCCGGGUCUGCAGUCGAUACGGGCAGGCUAGAGUUCGGUAGGGGAGAUCGGAAUUCCUGGUGUAGCGGUGAAAUGCGCAGAUAUCAGGAGGAACACCGGUGGCGAAGGCGGAUCUCUGGGCCGAUACUGACGCUGAGGAGCGAAAGCGUGGGGAGCGAACAGGAUUAGAUACCCUGGUAGUCCACGCCGUAAACGGUGGGCACUAGGUGUGGGCAACAUUCCACGUUGUCCGUGCCGCAGCUAACGCA
RNAcentral lists this ribosomal RNA (777 nucleotides) under Streptomyces sp. RNAcentral's name for it is "bacterial SSU rRNA". It matches the Rfam family "Bacterial small subunit ribosomal RNA", at positions 67 to 859 of the family's 1533-position model. The record is from RNAcentral. Lineage: Bacteria; Bacillati; Actinomycetota; Actinomycetes; Kitasatosporales; Streptomycetaceae.